CCUCCCUUUAGACAGCGUUACUCUGACUGAGCCCCUGCCAAGUAGGUGGCUCUUCAUCAAUGACAUCAUCAUGCCCUAUCUUCUCCAGCUGACACAGUUUAGUUUCUUCUCAUCCCUGACAUCUCUUUCUCCAGAAUCCAUUCCGGCUGGCCUCGGCUCUGAUGGCCUGUGUCCAUUCCAGCAGCACUGCUUCAGUCUGAGAACAGGGUGAAGAGGCGUAAGAUUCCAAGGGCAUGAGGUGGUGGGUGUGGGGACUGAUUCUCCAAUGUCUUUGUGCCUGAGCAGCUAGUCCUAAAAUGCCCCCCACAAAGGUGCUAGAUUUGAAGUCAGAUGACCUGGAUUCAGUUGCUAGCCCUGUCACUUGCUACCAUGUUACACUGGACCCAGCCUGCCAUAAUGGAUGGUAUGUGUCAAGAAGACUUAAAUUCAAAUAGUACCUCCUACACUAGCUGUGUGACCCUAGGCCCAGAACUGACUGCAAGGUCCCAAACCUGAAGACAACUUUGUUUCUCUUUCCCUUCCUCUUUUAUUGCCCAAAUGUUCAAAUGUGACAUUGGGUCACCAUAGAAAUGACUGGAUUAUUUGACCAGGGACACACGAUGCCUUGGAUAUGACGGGCAAGCAAGCCACUCAUGAAGUCCAAAGAUGCCUCCUAGAAGAAGGGCUACAUAUUGCUUGGGGUGGGGAAUGCAUAUAAUUAACAGAGUUACACAAAACCUAUUUUAUGUAGCCGUAUUUUUUAUUCCUUCAAGACACUUAUCCUGAUUAGAGGUAGCUACAUGGCCCAGAGUAUUGGACCUGUAGUCAGGAAGACCUGAGUACAAACCCAGCCUUAGAAACUUACUAGCUGUGUAACCCUGGACGAGUUACUUAUGUCUCACUCUUCUAUCUCUAAGAUGGGGAUGAUAAUAACAGCACCUACCUCACAGGGUUUGUUGUGAGAAUAAAAUGAGUA
Long non-coding RNA from Phascolarctos cinereus (koala), 955 nucleotides. RefSeq lists it as uncharacterized. The record is from RefSeq and is a predicted model, not a curated record. Lineage: Eukaryota; Metazoa; Chordata; Mammalia; Diprotodontia; Phascolarctidae.